Molecule: ribosomal RNA, 564 nt
Filed under: Ogataea pinus
Lineage: Eukaryota; Fungi; Ascomycota; Pichiomycetes; Pichiales; Pichiaceae
Description: eukaryotic LSU rRNA
Rfam family: Eukaryotic large subunit ribosomal RNA
Source: RNAcentral
AAACCAACAGGGAUUGCCUUAGUAGCGGCGAGUGAAGCGGCAAAAGCUCAAAUUUGAAAUCUGGUACCUUCGGUGCCCGAGUUGUAAUUUGAAGAAAGCUAUCUUGGGUUUGGCCCUUAUCUAUGUUCCUUGGAACAGGACGUCACAGAGGGUGAGAAUCCCGUGCGAUGGGGUGUCCAAAUCUAUGUAAGAUGUUUUCGAAGAGUCGAGUUGUUUGGGAAUGCAGCUCUAAGUGGGUGGUAAAUUCCAUCUAAAGCUAAAUAUUGGCGAGAGACCGAUAGCGAACAAGUACAGUGAUGGAAAGAUGAAAAGAACUUUGAAAAGAGAGUGAAAAAGUACGUGAAAUUGUUGAAAGGGAAGGGUAUUUGAUCAGACUUGGUAUUUAGUUAUCAUUGUCCUUCGGGGUGGUGCUCUAGCUUUUUACUGGGCCAGCAUCAGUUUUGGUGGCAAGAUAAUCGCAGUGGAAUGUGGCUCUUCGGAGUGUUAUAGCCUUUGUUGAUAUUGCCUACCGAGACUGAGGUCUGCGACUUUGUCUAGGAUGCUGGCGUAAUGAUCAAAUACCGC